AACAGAAUAUGAUGAUAAUAAUAUGGCAAUAGAAUAAUAGUAUAAAAUAAUCAGUUUCAUGGCAUAGGAUAGGAAGAUGAGAGGAGAAUCCCAAUGCGUCCUGUACCUUUAAGGAGCGAAGCCUUGGGGACAAGUGGAAAGCCCUCUUCCUUCCUUCCCUCCCACCCUCCCUUGCCCGGGCUCCAGGAGCCAAUCAGAAGCCUCUGGGAAGCAAGGCAGCAUGGCCAGGAGGGAGACGGAAGGAAGGAAGGAAGAAACGGCAGCAGCCAUGGAAGGUUCUUCAAGCCUCGGCUGGGGGACAGAUUCUCAGUGUCUUUCUCCAAUUUCCUGUUGUGGAACAUCUUCAGGAUUACAUCAGUCCUACUGCCAACAACUUUGAUGAGUGAGAAAGCUUUCGUUUAAGCUUGGGGUUCAUACAUUUGUGGACAGAUUGGCUUUUGGCAGACACUUGAAAAAUGUUCCUGCCAAACUCUCUCGUUGGCAGAUGGCAACAGCUGGGUUAUGACUGACUUUGGAGAAACGCUGAAGAAGCUCUUCUCAAGGGUCCAUUGUAUUACACCAAUGGCUCUUCUCCAUGACCCUUUUUGCUGGUGACUCCUUAUUGUAUCAAUGUAGAAUUUACUCAGGCAUUUGGAUGAAAAUGGACACAAGAUUGGGUAGAUGCAGUAAAUAGAUAGACCCUAAUUUCUUAAAACCUGGAGGUGUGAUUGGAAGAUUUCUAAAUGCACCUGAGGGCGGGGGGGGGGGGGGUUAUAAUACUUUUUAAAUAUAUAGAAAAAUAUAUUUGAAAAUAUACAAUGUUAUACAAAUAUUAUACAAUAGUUUAAUUCACUUAUUAGAUUUGUUUUCAAAAAUUACCUUGCAUAUUCCUUCUUUAGUAAAGGUAAAGGUUUUCCCCUGACAUUAAGUCCAGUUGUGUCCGACUCUGGCCGUGGUGCCCAUCUCCAUUUCUAAGCCGAAAAGCCGGCGUUGUCCGUAGACACCUUCAAGGUCAUGUGGCCGGCAUGGGACCUAUUGAUCUACUCACAUGUUCAUGUUUUCAAACUGCUAGGUUGGCAGAAGCUGAGGCUAACAACAGGAGCUCACCCCACUCCCCGGGUUCGAACUGCGAUCUUUCGGUCAGCAAGUUCAGCAGCUCAGUGUUUUAACCAGCUGCACCACCGAACGCUCCUUCCUUCCUUCCUUCUUUAAAGAAAGAGUAAUCAGAGCACAACAGAAAUUAA
Molecule: long non-coding RNA, 1223 nt
Filed under: Anolis carolinensis (green anole)
Lineage: Eukaryota; Metazoa; Chordata; Lepidosauria; Squamata; Anolidae
Description: lncRNA (ENSACAG00000035064.1)
Source: RNAcentral